AUGACACAAACCCAGCACACAAUGCGCAGCUGCAGCAGCAGCAGCAGCGAUUUACAGCAUGCGCAACAGCGACGUCGACGCCAAAUGUCAACGCAUUGUUCGACGCUGCUGCUGCUGCUGUUGCUCGUGAUCAGCUGUGGCAUUUCCGUUGCCUUCGCUGCGACAGCGCAGUCGCGCUUGUCUCAACCCCAGGGCAGAAUACGACCGCCGCGUGAGAUAUAUGAGGAUGAUGCCGGCGCCGCAGCUGCCGCUGCUGCAGCCGCCGCCGAUGCCGAGGCUGCGGAGGCAACAAGUUGCUGCCAGGGCGCAGCAGCCACAUCUGUCGAGCCUGUCACGCUUUCACUGGAACUGGGAAAUGUGACAACAGACUACGAUGGCUCCGGCGAAACCUCCUCAAAGGAGACUUUCAAGCGCAGUGUGGCACGUGCUGCCAUUCGGAAUGCGACGCCAGCGAGCUGCUCGCCACAGCCGACGAUCGUGGAGCUGAAGCCACUGACGGAGCAGGGCGGGGAGCAGACGGCCUCGAAUGUCUACUAUUUGCCAGCGUGCACGCGCAUCAAUCGCUGCAACGGAUGCUGCGGCUCCACGCUGAUCUCGUGCCAGCCGACGGAGACGGAGACGCUGCAGCUGCGCGUGCGCAAGGUGGAGCGCUUUGGGGCGAGCAGCAAGCGGGGCUAUGCCAUUGUCAAUGUGGAGCAGCAUUUGGCAUGCAAAUGCGAUUGCCGCAUCAAGGCCGAGGACUGCAAUGCGUACCAGGAGUACCGCAAGGAUCUCUGCCGCUGCGAGUGCCAGAACACAGAUGCGCGCGACAAGUGCCUGGAGCAAUCGGAUCACAAGUAUUGGGACGACGCCAACUGCACCUGCGCGUGCCGCUACAACCAGAGCUGCACUACCGGCACCGUCUUCGACGAGGCCCAAUGCAAAUGCACCGAUAUCAAGAGUCUCGAGUAUUAUUCCUAGACUACAUACAUACAUACAUUCAUACAUACUGAAAUAGCCUUAAAAACAAAACUGACUUAAAUAGUAGUUGUAGCUGUUGUUGUUGUUGUUGCUGCUGCUUGGUUCGAUUGCAAAGGCAGCUUUCAAGUAAAUCAUUCAGUUUAUAUACCAUAUAAAGUAAUCAUAUUCAUAAUCAUGAUCAAUCAAGGCAGCAACAACAAAUCGACGACAUCGCACUACAAUGUGAUACUACCUAAAAGUUUGCCAAAUUGGAAAUUCAUAUCAAAAACUUCAAAUUUAUUUAAAAGAAUGUUUUUUUUUUUUUUUUUUUUUUGGCUGUUGUUGUUUUUGUAAGGCAAGUGUAACUUAUAGCUGAGUUGAGGCCAUGAAAAUGAAAAAGAAAAAAAGAAAGAAAUUACAAAAGUAAAUAUGAAAGAGAAACACACAACGUCAAUUGUGUUGCAUUGUCCCUCGGCGCCCAGCGAUGUGGCCGACCGUCGACGCUUCAUCGUACAGGCCGUGGAGGCCGUGGAGCCGGACAACAGCACCCUAUACAGCGUCUAGGAGGGCAACCCAAUUACAAUACUUAUUUAUAUAAAACCUAUAGCUUUACUAUCAUACAUAUGUAGCUAUAUGCAUC
Molecule: RNA transcript, 1579 nt
Organism: Drosophila mojavensis
Lineage: Eukaryota; Metazoa; Arthropoda; Insecta; Diptera; Drosophilidae
Gene: Pvf1
Exons: 6
Source: RefSeq, a predicted model, not a curated record